Molecule: ribosomal RNA, 377 nt
Filed under: Rhizobiaceae bacterium CaAH17
Lineage: Bacteria; Pseudomonadati; Pseudomonadota; Alphaproteobacteria; Hyphomicrobiales; Rhizobiaceae
Description: bacterial SSU rRNA
Rfam family: Bacterial small subunit ribosomal RNA
Source: RNAcentral
GGCAGGCUUAACACAUGCAAGUCGAACGCCCCGCAGGGAGUGGCAGACGGGUGAGUAACGCGUGGGAACAUACCCUUUUCUACGGAAUAGCUCUGGGAAACUGGAAUUAAUACCGUAUACGCCCUACGGGGGAAAGAUUUAUCGGGGAAGGAUUGGCCCGCGUUGGAUUAGCUAGUUGGUGGGGUAAAGGCCUACCAAGGCGACGAUCCAUAGCUGGUCUGAGAGGAUGAUCAGCCACAUUGGGACUGAGACACGGCCCAAACUCCUACGGGAGGCAGCAGUGGGGAAUAUUGGACAAUGGGCGCAAGCCUGAUCCANCCAUGCCGCGUGAGUGAUGAAGGCCUUAGGGUUGUAAAGCUCUUUCACCGAUGAAGAUA